GGGUCGAGCCAUGACUCAGAACAGACAAUGAUCUCCCCCCCACUCCCUCCACCACCACUACCAUCAGCAUCACCACCACCACCUUCUUCAACCACACCACCAGCAUUUCCACCACCACUGCCAGCAUCUCCACCACCACCAGCACCUCCUCGUUCUCACCAUGACAUGGCUGAAGGUGGUAAGACGACGAAGCAUGCAACGACGAAGCUACAGGGAGGACGUGAACGUGUUUAUGUGUGAUGGAGGUGAGAGAAAGAGCUCGUCCCUUCAUCCACUUCAGUUAUUGGCCGAGAACACCCGAAGCCACAGGAGAAGGAUCAAUGCAUUGCAUAACUAAAGAGUCUGUAUCUACCAUUGACCUUCAGACAUGGAGGCUGGUAAGGGUGUUGCGGCAAGGAUCAAGUGAUCAGGAGAAUGUCUCGUUGCCAUAGAAACUCAACCUCAUGGCUGCUAUCCUCUUGUUAAUGGAAUGAAUAUACACAAGCAUUGAGUUGUUGCCUCGCGCGGGGCGAAAGGACAAUCUCACUCGCGGGACCACUUUUCAAGCAUUUCAAGCAACUUCAAAUACCUAUAUUCCCAGACACUGUAGCAUGGUAAGUUCUCACCAGAGAAUUGCGACGAAAAUAAAACACUAGACAUCAAGCUCAACACUGUGUAGGAUAAGCUGACGUACGAUGAUAAAGCAUCUCGCCCGGUUCCAACAAUGUUCCCUCCUCGACCUCAUCUGGGUGGCUGUCGCGAGGGACACAUCAUGUUUCGUUUGUCAGUGCUUAUCGCCAUUUAUCGUCUGUCAUCCUCGUUCCUCCGCCCCGUCCUGACUCCCCAAGACGUGCAGGACCUCCAUACUGCAGAGGAGAGCAUGCUGAGCCGAACGAUAAGUUGAGACGCUGAGGAAUGCGGUCAAAAAGGAGAGAAAGAACGUGUGUGUUAUCAGUUAUCCAUAUUGAGAAAAAGGGAGGAGAAUUUGUGAAUAAAAGGAAGAAACACUAAAAAAAACCCAGUUAGGAAAAAGAGUAGAUAGUGUAAAUAUGUUAGAAAAGAGAAAGAAAAGUGAUGAAAAAAGGAAAAAAAUGGAAAAAUGUUAGAAAAUAGAAAGAAAAGUGAUGAAAUGAAAGAAAAAAGUGGAAAAAUGUUUGAAAAUAGAAAGAGAAGUGAUUAAAUAAAUGGAAAAAUGGAAAAUGUUUGAAAAUAGAAAGAAAAGUGAUGAAAAAAGGAAAAAAAAUGGAAAAUGUUAGAAAAUAGAAAGAAAAGAGAUAAAAGGAAAAAGUGGAAAAUGUUAGAAAAUAGAAAGAGACGUGAUGAAAUAAAUAAUGGAAAACUGAGAAAUUGUUAGAAAAAUGUGGAAGAAUUCUUACGUUAGUUUCCCUUAUACUUAAAAGAGGAAAUGAUGCAAUAAAAGAAAAAAAAGCGAAAAAGUGUUAGGAAAAAGAGGAAGAACAGUUACAUUGACUUCCCUUAUACUAAAAAUAGGAAAAGUGAGAAAUUACAAAAAAAGAAAAAGAAACAGGAAGAACGUUUACUACAAGUGUCUACGUAUUGAAAAAAAAAGAGAAAGUGAUGAUUAAUAAUGAUCAAAAGAAGGAAAACUUGUACUAUAACCAACCACAUGACCUCUGUCACCGCCGUCACCACCACCACCACUACGGGACAUCGGCUUUGUGGGAGGCGGAGGCACCGGCGGCGGAGCGGCGAGCCCUCGUGGCGCGGGGUCUGCUCUUCUCGGCGGCAAGGUAAGUACCCCAUUGCAUGCUCGCCGUGGGACACCGCCGUGGGACAAAACAUCUUUAGCGACGAAGAAAGGUAAAUGCCAGUUCUUUUUUCUUUUAUCAGCUAGGUUGGUAGGCUCCUCUCUAACACACUUUGCCUUUCAGGAACACUCAUAUAUAAAUCUUAGUAUUGACAGCACAGCCCCGACGCCCACUGCACGGACCUGAGGCUGGCGGUCGCAUUUGCCUUCCGUGUGUGCUGCAGUGACGGUGACGGUGACCUGGGUAGGACACAGGAAGCUU
Molecule: long non-coding RNA, 2009 nt
Organism: Eriocheir sinensis (Chinese mitten crab)
Lineage: Eukaryota; Metazoa; Arthropoda; Malacostraca; Decapoda; Varunidae
Exons: 8
Source: RefSeq, a predicted model, not a curated record